GCCGACCCGACAAGAAACUGCGAAUAAUUGGGGUGGAAGUAGAAGUAGUAGUAGUCGUUGUGGUUGUAGUACCAGGUCAGUACCUGGUCAGUACCUGGAUGGGAAACUGCCUGGGAACACCGGGUGUUGUCGGCU
This 135-nucleotide ribosomal RNA is filed under the name Eptatretus burgeri (inshore hagfish). Lineage: Eukaryota; Metazoa; Chordata; Myxini; Myxiniformes; Myxinidae. The record is from RNAcentral.